UGUCUGCUGGACUGGAGGAUCCACACUGGAGACUGGACACUCUCAGGGUGGAGCCCGGUGGAGUCCGAUGGCUGAGACCAGGUCUGAGGAAGUAUUCCUGUGAACUCACACUCGACACAAACACAGUGAACA
Molecule: long non-coding RNA, 132 nt
Organism: Siniperca chuatsi (mandarin fish)
Lineage: Eukaryota; Metazoa; Chordata; Actinopteri; Centrarchiformes; Sinipercidae
Exons: 3
Source: RefSeq, a predicted model, not a curated record